ACGCCAGACUCCUACGGGAGGCAGCAGUGGGGAAUAUUGCACAAUGGGGGAAACCCUGAUGCAGCAACGCCGCGUGAGUGAAGAAGUAUUUCGGUAUGUAAAGCUCUAUCAGCAGGGAAGAAGAUGACGGUACCUGAGUAAGAAGCCCCGGCUAACUACGUGCCAGCAGCCGCGGUAAUACGUAGGGGGCAAGCGUUAUCCGGAUUUACUGGGUGUAAAGGGAGCGUAGACGGUGAGACAAGUCUGAAGUGAAAGCCCGGGGCUCAACCCCGGGACUGCUUUGGAAACUGCCUGACUGGAGUGCUGGAGAGGCAAGCGGAAUUCCGUGUGUAGCGGUGAAAUGCGUAGAUAUACGGAGGAACACCAGUGGCGAAGGCGGCCUGCUGAACAUUAACUGACGCUGAGGCGCGAAAGCGUGGGGAGCAAACAGGAUUAGAUACCCGUGUACC
RNAcentral lists this ribosomal RNA (449 nucleotides) under uncultured bacterium. RNAcentral describes it as "bacterial SSU rRNA". It matches the Rfam family "Bacterial small subunit ribosomal RNA", at positions 328 to 794 of the family's 1533-position model. The record is from RNAcentral.